This 77-nucleotide microRNA precursor is filed under the name Loxodonta africana (African savanna elephant). RNAcentral's name for it is "miRNA (ENSLAFG00000025952.1)". The record is from RNAcentral. Lineage: Eukaryota; Metazoa; Chordata; Mammalia; Proboscidea; Elephantidae.
CCAUUCAGUUAGCCACUGAGUACUUAACAACUGUGCCACCACGUGUUGGCGAGGAUGUGGAGAAAUUGGAAUCCUUA